Molecule: small RNA, 126 nt
Filed under: Facklamia languida CCUG 37842
Lineage: Bacteria; Bacillati; Bacillota; Bacilli; Lactobacillales; Aerococcaceae
Description: Streptococcus sRNA SpR18
Rfam family: Streptococcus sRNA SpR18
Source: Rfam by way of RNAcentral
AUCAAUGGAUACAGAAGAUUAAAAACUGUAACUGGGAUUAAAAUGGGAACAUUUGUUAAAAAGAAUAAAUUGAAUAAUAGUUCCAAGUGGUUUAGAAAAGAGUGACAGCCCUGGUCUUUAGACUAG